GAACUCGAUUCCGAUUACCGCAGGUCUCUCGGACUAGUUGAGAGGAUCAUUGUCGUUCCAGGUGCAUGUGGUUCGUCCGAUAGAUCGUAGCGUGGCGAAAGCACCGGAGCAGUCUCAGGAAUUACAAUGCGCCUGUAAAACCGGCUAGGCUUCCGACAUAGACGCGGUGGUCUGUCCCCCGAGUGCCAUUCUUCUGGAUCUGAUGCAGCGCAAUGUUCUUUUGCGUCUGCCGACGGGCGAGCUCGGUCAACGUAAUACAACUGCUUCGAAUUGAGGCUACCAUAUCUUCUGCUAGAGCGGAACAUGUUCCCUCGGGAAUGUGAACAACAACCGGCCUGGCCUCUGGAUCUGGAGAUCCAUGAGAGUUAAUGGGCCGACAACAUCCCGCGAGGUUAUAAUAGUGGUCCCGAAAUCGAGAAGGCUGGGCCAGCGGACACAGCACUGACUACGGGGUGAAAUUAUACAUUUCAUGUAUUCCACAGCACCCUGAUAGCCCAAAUCCUCUGUUGAUAAAAACAGGACUCCCAUCCGAGUCAGUGGAGAUAUAUCGGGUGCUGCUUUCCAUCGGCCAGCCCACGCACUGCUCUUGGGUAACGCAUUUGCGACACGAGCGAUGUCUGCCAUAGCCUCGGGAGAAUAGCGCAACACCUCUUGCCAUGGUUCGGGGAUUCUGGCAAACUCUACUAGUUCCACAAAUGCCCCGUUGGGGCAGUAUGCGUUCAGAACAGAUUGGGGAGGGGUUUGACCGAUCACCGUUCCAACCGGGAAUUGCCUGAAUGCGGCACGGUCCCGACGUCCCCGUGGGCCUACUAAGGCCCCGGUCAUAAUAUCGACGGGAACUGGGCCAUGGGAUGUGUUGAAUCUGUGGAUAGCUUCUACUAUCUCUGGACUAUCCCGGUUUCUUGGGGUAAGUAGUCCUCAUCUUCCAGUUUACGCGUUCGGGGCGAUGUUUUUCUCCCCUUAGACUGCGGUCCGGAUCGCCCACCACGAUUACUACCUCUGCCCCGACGCGGGCGGCUCGAACAAUCAGCCCGCGGUCUGGGGGGCGACGGAGAUGGUGACCUAGAUGAUGAAGGUGAAGACGGGACGAUUAGAGAAGAUGAUGACGGUGAGGAUGAUGAAGAGGAGGAAGAUGAAGAGGAUGGCGAUCUGGAAACAUGUCCGACGUUCCGGGCCGCGUGGUCUGGGGGAACUUCGUGGAGAUGAGGUUGUGUGAGGCAGUUCGCUCAUUCUGCCAGAAGAUGGAGUAGUCAGCCGUGGACCUGAGGUGAGUGGUGCAGCUCAACUCUAGCUUCGCGAAUGGCCGCGGAGAGCGCAGGAGGCAGCGUGGUAGAUGGUUGUGGCAUCUCAAAAGUAACUUCGCAGCCAGGCAUUUAAAGUCUUUCCAUGCCAAACCGGUCCAGGGAUUGGUGCUUCCAUCUCGGCCGUCCACCCAGGUAAUCUCGGGCAAUGGGAACAGCAAUCACUUUCGAAUUCCUUCAGCCCAAAGCACAACCGCGGGUCCACCGGGACUCUCCGACAUAGCUCGAGCCAAAAGGGAAUUGUAGCCCAGGCAAGAAGGGCGGUGCAUAUCUGCAAGUAAACAAAACUCGGGGUUCUGUACGAUUGGCCGGGGUCUUACAUGCUCGCCGAAUUGGAUUUGAGAAUCAAUCUUCCGACGGGUCUCCUGACUUGAACAGGGGAAAGGGGGAGGGGGAGUGUGUUAUCUUGUCGCGAACCAAUAA
RNAcentral lists this small RNA (1724 nucleotides) under Gallid alphaherpesvirus 2. RNAcentral's name for it is "latency associated transcript 11 non-coding RNA". The record is from RNAcentral. Lineage: Duplodnaviria; Heunggongvirae; Peploviricota; Herviviricetes; Herpesvirales; Orthoherpesviridae.